RNAcentral lists this ribosomal RNA (496 nucleotides) under uncultured bacterium. RNAcentral describes it as "partial 16S ribosomal RNA". It matches the Rfam family "Bacterial small subunit ribosomal RNA", at positions 28 to 506 of the family's 1533-position model. The record is from RNAcentral.
GAUGAACGCUGGCGGCGUGCCUAAUACAUGCAAGUCGAGCGAACAGACGAGGAGCUUGCUCCUCUGACGUUAGCGGCGGACGGGUGAGUAACACGUGGAUAACCUACCUAUAAGACUGGGAUAACUUCGGGAAACCGGAGCUAAUACCGGAUAAUAUAUUGAACCGCAUGGUUCAAUAGUGAAAGACGGUUUUGCUGUCACUUAUAGAUGGAUCCGCGCCGCAUUAGCUAGUUGGUAAGGUAACGGCUUACCAAGGCAACGAUGCGUAGCCGACCUGAGAGGGGGAGCGGCCACACUGGAACUGAGACAGGGCCCAGACUCCAGCGGGAGGCAGAAGAAGGGAAUCUCCCGCAAGGGGCGAAGGCCUGCGGGACCACCGCCGGGUGAGUGAGGAAGUGCUUGGGAUCGAAAAACUCUUUUAUGGGGAAAGAAAAAAUGUGAAAUUAACAAGACACGUUUGGAGGGUACCAACUAAGAAACCCCCGCUUACCUAGGU